UGCUUGUCUCAAAGAUUAAGCCAUGCAUGUCUAAGCACAUGCCGAUUAAUGGUAAAGCCGCGAAUAGCUCAUUACAACAGCCUCUGCUUAUUAGAUCUUUCUUUCUUACUUGGAUAACUGUGGCAAUUCUAGAGCUAAUACAUGCAACAAAGCUCUAACCGUAAGGAAGGAGUGCUCUUAUUAGAACAAAACCAAUCGAGCUUCGGCUCGUUGGCUGGUGAAUCUGAAUAAUUUUGCCGAUCGAACGGUCUUUGAACCGUCGACGUAUCUUUCAAAUGUCUGCCUUAUCAACUUUCGAUGGUAGUAUAUAGGACUACCAUUGUGAUAACGGGUAACGGAGAAUUAGGGUUCGACUCCGGAGAGGGAGCCUGAGAAACGGCUACCACAUCCRAGGAAGGCAGCAGGCA
Molecule: ribosomal RNA, 407 nt
Filed under: Nematoda environmental sample
Lineage: Eukaryota; Metazoa; Nematoda
Description: SSU rRNA
Rfam family: Eukaryotic small subunit ribosomal RNA
Source: RNAcentral